This 73-nucleotide transfer RNA is filed under the name Nanobdellota archaeon. Its description in RNAcentral is "tRNA-Phe". It matches the Rfam family "tRNA". From Rfam's summary of the family: Transfer RNA (tRNA) molecules are approximately 80 nucleotides in length. Their secondary structure includes four short double-helical elements and three loops (D, anti-codon, and T loops). Further hydrogen bonds mediate the characteristic L-shaped molecular structure. tRNAs have two regions of fundamental functional importance: the anti-codon, which is responsible for specific mRNA codon recognition, and the 3' end, to which the tRNAs corresponding amino acid is attached (by aminoacyl-tRNA synthetases). tRNAs cope with the degeneracy of the genetic code in two manners: having more than one tRNA (with a specific anti-codon) for a particular amino acid; and 'wobble' base-pairing, i.e. permitting non-standard base-pairing at the 3rd anti-codon position. Lineage: Archaea; Nanobdellati; Nanobdellota. RNAcentral also lists the same sequence under 2 other names. The record is from RNAcentral.
GGGACCUUAGCUCAGCUGGUAGAGCACUAGACUGAAGAUCUAGGUGUCCUGGGUUCAAGUCCCAGAGGUCCCA